Molecule: transfer RNA, 75 nt
Filed under: Planctomycetota bacterium
Lineage: Bacteria; Pseudomonadati; Planctomycetota
Description: tRNA-Thr
Rfam family: tRNA
About the family: Transfer RNA (tRNA) molecules are approximately 80 nucleotides in length. Their secondary structure includes four short double-helical elements and three loops (D, anti-codon, and T loops). Further hydrogen bonds mediate the characteristic L-shaped molecular structure. tRNAs have two regions of fundamental functional importance: the anti-codon, which is responsible for specific mRNA codon recognition, and the 3' end, to which the tRNAs corresponding amino acid is attached (by aminoacyl-tRNA synthetases). tRNAs cope with the degeneracy of the genetic code in two manners: having more than one tRNA (with a specific anti-codon) for a particular amino acid; and 'wobble' base-pairing, i.e. permitting non-standard base-pairing at the 3rd anti-codon position.
Source: RNAcentral
GCUAGCGUAGCUCAACGGUAGAGCACCUGAUUUGUAAUCUGGAGGUUACGGGUUCAAGUCCCGUCGCUAGCUCCA